Vitis vinifera (wine grape) is the source of this 2066-nucleotide RNA transcript. It is a transcript of the gene named probable protein phosphatase 2C 6, with no coding region annotated. The transcript is spliced from 8 exons. Lineage: Eukaryota; Viridiplantae; Streptophyta; Magnoliopsida; Vitales; Vitaceae. The record is from RefSeq and is a predicted model, not a curated record.
UUGCUCGGAACUUUCCACGCGUUGGCACAAACCCUAGCUCAUAGACUCCUCUCUCCACUCUUUUAUCUCCGCCGUUUCUCAAAUCUUCAAUACCUCUUCUCUUCUUUGUCUCUUGCGCUCUCCAUCUCCAAUUGCAAUGGCACACCCCUUUGAAGCUCACCACAUCCUCAACCUCCGCGCUCCCUGUGAUUCCAUCCGUCCGCCCAACGUAUCCGGCAAAAGGCCAGCAAGUUCAUUUAGCCAGAAUGGGAAUUCCAACUCCAGAAAUGGCGAAGCUCCCAUCCCAGUGUGCUCCAAUUCCUCCCUCGCCGCCGGUGGUUCCGGAGUACCAACCUGUGUGGGGAAAGAUAACAAAAAGGUGUCUUGGGGACGAAGCUCGGACGUGGGAAAACGGUCGGGAAUGGAGGAUAGUUUAGCCAUUGUCCCUGGGUUUAUGUCACUGUCUUGCAAGCAGGUCGGUGGAUGCACCGCGCCGGAGUGCACUUACGCCGCUGAGGACUCGCCAGUGCACUUCUUUGGCCUCUACGAUGGCCAUGGAGGCCCUCAGGUGAGUUGCUAUUGUGCAAGGAUGCUUCAUGAAAUGGUCGCAGAAGAGUGGGAAAGAGGAGGUGGUGAUGAAUGGAGUAAACGGUGGGAGGUUGCAUUACGUAGGGCCUAUGGGAGGGCAGAUGAUGCUUUAAAAGACAAGGCAUUAGCACCAUACUCAGUGGGAUCAACCAGUUUGGUGGUGGUUGUGUCACCCUGUCAGAUCAUUGCUGCCAACUGUGGAGAUUCUAGGGCUGUGCUUUGCCGUGGGACUCAAGCAAUUCCCUUAACUGUUGACCACAAGCUUGAUCGACAAGAUGAACUGGCCCGAAUUGAGGAAGCAGGCGGCCAAAUUCUAUAUUGGCAGGGUCCAAGGGUAGAAGGAGUUCUUUCUAUGACAAGAGCAAUAGGUGACCACUAUCUGAAACCAUGGAUUAUUUCAGAGCCUGAAGUUGCUUUCACAACAAGGAGUGAUGAGGAUGAAUGUCUGAUUUUGGCAAGUGAUGGCUUAUGGGAUGUCCUGUCCAAUGAACAGGUGGUAAAGGUUGCUCGCAAUUCACUGAGGGAGGAGCGCAGGAAGGCUCUGCUUAAUGAUAGUUCACUACCCCCAGCCCACUCUGCUGCAGAUAGUCUCCUUUGCUGUGCACUUGCUGAGUACAGUGAUGACAACAUUUCAAUUAUUGUUGUCGACCUGAAAUCACGAAAGAGAAGGCACCAAUAUAGGCACUGAAAGUGGGCUGGUUUUUCUGGGUGGAGAGGGGGUUAGAGCUUCUAGGGGAGAGCGGCUAAUCCUGACUGAGUAUCUAGAUCUCUACAAGUAUCAGGAGCAUUUAUCCAUUGAAGGUUCAACCUGCUCUGAUAGCAAUUUUUAUGAAGGUCUAGAUUGGCAGGCUUCUAAAUGAACCAUAAAGGACAAGGAAUGACUCUCUAUUGCCAGUUGCUGAAGUAGUCUGUUAAACAUGGCCUAUUUCUGCAUUACCAAAGACUUGUGCAGCUUGAGGAAGAAAAUUGUAUGGCUGAAACUAUUACAUUUGUUAGAACAGUUCUAACUACCGGGCAGAGGACGACGUUUUCUUUCUUGAAAGGACUGCUACGAGGAUCAUGUCUCAUUCAGUUUACUUGGAUAGAAUUUCGGCAGAGGGAGCAAAAGCUGCCUACAGUGCAGAUGCUUCAAUAAUGUCUACCAAGAAAUGGGAUUCUUGUGAAGAUGAGUGGAAUUGAUGCUGCGAGAAGAAUAUCUGUUAAACGGUCAGUAGGAAAGCAACCUUAAAGUUAAACUCCUGUAUGAUUGCAUCAAUGCCCACAAGUUUGGAUAAUUGAUUAUGAGCACAUUCUCGAUGAGGGAAAAUGGAUAUUUUUCAAGAAGGUUCCACGUGGCUAAUUCUUUGAUGCGGCAACACUAACCUCUCCCUAGACCAUUGCAUGAAACCAUGUUCCUUUCUUGUCAUUGAAUCUUCUUGAUUUAUUCUUUCUGCAACCACUAGUUGAUGUAAGUUUGAUUAUUGAAUUCAAAGAAAUCCAGUUUUGCCUUGGUUGUUUUC